CUGUGAAGCCCAGAACAGAAGAGGACGUCAUAACUCCACCUUACAUCUGAUUGUUGUGGCAGAGAAAUCAUCAGUGAUAAUAAAUAUCAUCAGGUUGACUCUGGUGGUUGUGACGCCGAUUGCUCUGCUUUUUUUCUGUCUGUGGAUGAGGUGAAAUAAGAAUAUAAGAAUCAACCAGUUCAAUCACUGAUCUUUUACUUUGAAUAUUUUCUUUCAUAGUUUUGAGUUAUAGAUUAAGAGGAACAAACAUCAAACAAACAUCAAACUCGAAGCUAAGUAAAUCACAGCAUGUACAGUCUAUAUUUAAACAGUGAAAUCAAACAGAAGCCCAGCUCUAUCACAGUUUGCUAGUGUUGCAGUGGCUGAAUAAACAACUCUGCAGUUUGAUCAUCAUUUCAGUUUCCUCUCACUGCUGCAGAGGGCGACAGUGUACAGAAAGUUUUGGAUUUAUGUUUAUUAUUCAGAAAGAAAAGUUUGUAAUUAUCAUUAAUGAAUAAAAAUAAAAUGUAAAUCUU
Molecule: long non-coding RNA, 515 nt
Organism: Micropterus salmoides (largemouth bass)
Lineage: Eukaryota; Metazoa; Chordata; Actinopteri; Centrarchiformes; Centrarchidae
Exons: 2
Source: RefSeq, a predicted model, not a curated record